AUCUAAAUAGUUUAUUAAAAAUAUUGAUUUGUGGCAUCAAAGAUAUAAGAUUUUAUUUUAGGUA
RNAcentral lists this transfer RNA (64 nucleotides) under Gonioctena leprieuri. RNAcentral describes it as "tRNA-His". Lineage: Eukaryota; Metazoa; Arthropoda; Insecta; Coleoptera; Chrysomelidae. The record is from RNAcentral.